RNAcentral lists this long non-coding RNA (756 nucleotides) under Gossypium raimondii (Peruvian cotton). RNAcentral describes it as "long non-coding RNA (GRAI_LNC001223)". Lineage: Eukaryota; Viridiplantae; Streptophyta; Magnoliopsida; Malvales; Malvaceae. The record is from RNAcentral.
AUUAAUUUACUUAAUUUUUUAAAUAGAAGGAAAAAGGAAAGAUUAGAUGAUAUUUCAUGAAGGAAGAAGGUGUUACAUGAUUGAGAUUCCAUCAAGUAUUAAAAUUGAGUAGGAAUAAUAAGAAUUGAUUAAACAAGACUUGGGUGAACUAAAAAUUAACACAAAAACUACAAAAAGGCAUCAAGAAUUACAUCAACAACAACAUCAAUAGAACAAGAACGAAAGCAAAAGGAAACACUAAAUCAGAAGUGGAAAACAAAUUAGGAAAGAACAAAAAAGGGAAUUUUAUUACAAAAUGGUACAAGAAGUGGAAGGUUGAGGAGCAUUGACACCAGGCCAUUCCUUGCAGUUGCAGCGUUGGGUUUCAGGCAGGCGAUUGUAAACAGAUGGAACAUGUCUUCCACAACCUCCCCAUGUUGUCUUCCCGCAUGUUGAGCACUUCACUUCGUAGCACAUCUUCGCUUGAUUUUUACCUUGUUGCUCUCUGCUUUAAAAAGAACUGAAUACGAAAAAGUCGACGACUUUUCUUUUCUUGUGAUGAAAUCGAUGAUACCCAGGGAUGGAAGAUGUUGAGAUUAUCGUUCCUUGUUGUGUGCGCCUGCCUAACCAAUCAGCAAUUAGAUCCAUGUAAAGCCUGUGUUCAAUUUGGGCUUAGUCAUGAGCUAAGUUUUUGGGGGCACAUUUGUUUAAGGUUGAAUCUCCAUGAAAGCUAAACUAUAUGUCCUUUUGCUACAAAAAUGAGUGAAAAUGAUGGGC